Molecule: long non-coding RNA, 1084 nt
Filed under: Citrus x clementina
Lineage: Eukaryota; Viridiplantae; Streptophyta; Magnoliopsida; Sapindales; Rutaceae
Description: Citrus clementina (C. clementina) long non-coding RNA (CCLE_LNC004056)
Source: RNAcentral
CAAAAUAAUUAGUUUUUAUCAAAUAUUGUUUUUAUUAAAAAUUAUUAAAUAAACAGCUUAUUAAAUUUUAACUUCAAUUCCAAACGGGCUAUUAGUUUCCUUAUUUAAGUUAACCUCGGGAAGUAUGUUUACCCUAUUUUAAAUAGGGAUGUAAAACAUUAUCAAAAUCUUAUUGAGUCGUUUUUAUUAGAACGAGAUCAAAUUAUGCUUAGAUUAGAAUGUAACCUAAUCCUGUUGAGUUAGUCUGGUCCUAAAACAAUAUCUAAUGUUCUUUUAUCAGAUCAAUCUGCUUCUGCUACCCUACUGCAUUACUAAAAUAUGUGUAAAGAUUUAUUAUGACAUGUCAAAUGAAAGAGUCGUAUUUGUUCGAAAAAUAGUGUAAUGAGAUGCUAUUUGAAAGCAUAACUUUUAGUGGGACUCACUUAUUGUAAGUGAAAAAUUAGGAUGAUUGGAAAUCUCCUUUGUGAAUACUUCAAAAUAAGUAUUUGUUUAUUCAAAAUGAUGCUCUGGUGAAAGAGAAAUUGAGGCUCAAAGUACAUCCAUUGACUGCAUUGAAUAAAAGUAGGAAUUACAGAGAUUAUAAUGGUUAGUUAAAUUUAGAAUUAAUUUAAUGUUGUAUGUAUUUUUACAGCAUUAGUAGGGAGAAUGUUCUAAACGUUUAGGUUUAAGUAUUUUAAUCUCAACCAUUCAUUUAAUAUAAUUUAAGAUAAUGAAUAAUGAAUUAGUUAAUUAAUAUAAAAGUACUAGUAGUCUUUUGAUUGGGAGUAAAUAGAUUUUUUUAAUUUUAAAUUAAUCAAAAGAGAAAGAAAAAGACAAUAAUGAGAAAUAAGCCGUUGGUGAGGAAGUUGGCUACUUUGGAUAAGUACGUUGUUUUAUCAGGAUCCACGGUUGCUGCUGUAAUCUCCCUACAAGAAAUAUGUAUCAUGACAAUUUUUUUUUCGUUCGUUUUCGGAAACGCAACCUUAUUUUGAUAGAUGCUGAGUGAUUUUAGUGGUAAAAAAGUGUGAUAAUUUGUUUAUGCUUGUUCAGGCGGAAUGACGUUGCUUCAAAUAAGGAUGUUGCUGAGAUAUUGUACUUUAUAUCU